Molecule: ribosomal RNA, 319 nt
Filed under: uncultured eukaryote
Lineage: Eukaryota
Description: partial 18S ribosomal RNA
Rfam family: Eukaryotic small subunit ribosomal RNA
Source: RNAcentral
CCCUUAGAUGUUCUGGGCUGCACGCGUGCUACAAUGGCGUUUCCAGCAAGUCUGCGAACCCGAGAGGGCCAGCGGAUCUUCGAAUUGGCGUCGUGAUCGGGACAGUCGAUUGCAAUUAUUUGACUCAAACGAGGAAUUCCUUGUAAUCGCGAUUCAUCAUAUCGCGCUGAAUACGUCCCUGCCCUUUGUACACACCGCCCAUCGCUCCUACCGAUUGAGCGAUCCGGUAAAUGUUUUGGAUUGGUGCCGGGGCGGCUAGCUGCCGGUCGCUACGAAAUUUUGUGAACCUUAUCGCUUAGAGGAAGGAAAAGUCGUAACA